GGACGGCCUUCCCCGAAUAGAGACGGACCGGUCUUCGGUCGAGGGUAUACGAGUAGCUGCGCUCCCCUGCUAGAACCUCCAAACAAGCUCUCAAGGUCCAUUUGUAGGAGAACGUAGGGUAGUCAAGCUUCCAAGACUCCAGACACAUCCAAAUGAGGCGCUGCAUGUGGCAGUCUGCCUUUCUAA
RNAcentral lists this small nuclear RNA (186 nucleotides) under Erinaceus europaeus (western European hedgehog). Its description in RNAcentral is "7SK RNA". It matches the Rfam family "7SK RNA", at positions 147 to 331 of the family's 331-position model. Rfam says of the family: 7SK was discovered as an abundant small nuclear RNA in the mid-70s but a possible function has only recently been suggested. Two independent studies have found that 7SK RNA binds the CDK9/cyclin T complex (known as elongation factor P-TEFb). P-TEFb activates transcription by phosphorylating the C-terminal domain of RNA polymerase II. The record is from Rfam by way of RNAcentral. Lineage: Eukaryota; Metazoa; Chordata; Mammalia; Eulipotyphla; Erinaceidae.